RNAcentral lists this ribosomal RNA (391 nucleotides) under uncultured bacterium. RNAcentral describes it as "bacterial SSU rRNA". It matches the Rfam family "Bacterial small subunit ribosomal RNA", at positions 104 to 491 of the family's 1533-position model. The record is from RNAcentral.
GGGUGAGUAAUGCCUAAGAAUCUGCCUGGUAGUGGGGGAUAACGUCCGGAAACGGACGCUAAUACCGCAUACGUCCUACGGGAGAAAGCAGGGGACCUUCGGGCCUUGCGCUAUCAGAUGAGCCUAGGUCGGAUUAGCUAGUUGGUGGGGUAAUGGCUCACCAAGGCGACGAUCCGUAACUGGUCUGAGAGGAUGAUCAGUCACACUGGAACUGAAACACGGUCCAAACUCCUACGGGAGGCAGCAGUGGGGAAUAUUGGACAAUGGGCGAAAGCCUGAUCCAGCCAUGCCGCGUGUGUGAAAAAGGUCUUCGGAUUGUAAAGCACUUUAAGUUGGGAGGAAGGGCAGUAAAUUAAUACUUUGCUGUUUUGACGUUACCGACAGAAUAAGC